RNAcentral lists this ribosomal RNA (449 nucleotides) under uncultured bacterium. Its description in RNAcentral is "bacterial SSU rRNA". It matches the Rfam family "Bacterial small subunit ribosomal RNA", at positions 29 to 521 of the family's 1533-position model. The record is from RNAcentral.
AACGAACGCUGGCGGCAGGCCUAACACAUGCAAGUCGAACGCUCGUAGCAAUACGGGAGUGGCAGACGGGUGAGUAACACGUGGGAACCUUCCCUAUGGUUCGGAAUAGCUCAGGGAAACUUGGGGUAAUACCGGAUAAGCCCUUCGGGGGAAAGGAUUUAUCGCCAUUGGAUGGGCCCGCGUCGGAUUAGCUAGUUGGUGAGGUAACGGCUCACCAAGGCAACGAUCCGUAGCUGGUCUGAGAGGAUGAUCAGCCACACUGGGACUGAGACACGGCCCAGACUCCUACGGGAGGCAGCAAUGGGGAAUAUUGGACAAUGGGCGCAAGCCUGAUCCAGCCAUGCCGCGUGAGUGACGAAGGUCUUCGGAUUGUAAACUCUUUUGGCGGGGACGAUAAUGACGGUACCCGCAGAAUAAGCCCCGGCUAACUUCGUGCCAGCAGCCGCCGU